AGUGAACGCUGGCGGUAGGCCUAACACAUGCAAGUCGAACGGCAGCACAGUAAGAGCUUGCUCUUACGGGUGGCGAGUGGCGGACGGGUGAGGAAUACAUCGGAAUCUACUUUUUCGUGGGGGAUAACGUAGGGAAACUUACGCUAAUACCGCAUACGACCUACGGGUGAAAGCAGGGGAUCUUCGGACCUUGCGCGAUUGAAUGAGCCGAUGUCGGAUUAGCUAGUUGGCGAGGUAAAGGCCCACCAAGGCGACGAUCCGUAGCUGGUCUGAGAGGGUGAUCAGCCACACUGGAACUGAGACACGGUCCAGACUCCUACGGGAGGCAGCAGUGGGGAAUAUUGGGCAAUGGGCGCAAGCCUGAUCCAGCCAUACCGCGUGGGUGAAGAAGGCCUUCGGGUUGUAAAGCCCUUUUGUUGGGAAAGAAAAGCAGCGGAUUAAUACCCCGAUGUUCUGACGGUACCCAAAGAAUAAGCACCGGCUAACUUCGUG
RNAcentral lists this ribosomal RNA (492 nucleotides) under uncultured bacterium. Its description in RNAcentral is "partial 16S ribosomal RNA". It matches the Rfam family "Bacterial small subunit ribosomal RNA", at positions 29 to 507 of the family's 1533-position model. The record is from RNAcentral.